This is a long non-coding RNA of Oncorhynchus tshawytscha (Chinook salmon), 572 nucleotides long. NCBI's taxonomy places the organism in Eukaryota, Metazoa, Chordata, Actinopteri, Salmoniformes, Salmonidae. The record is from Ensembl.
AGGACAAAGGCACCUCAGUGUGAAUGAAUGGGACAUCACUAUGAAUCACCAUAGGGCUCUGGAGAAAAGUAGUGCACUAUUUAGGGAAAAGGGUGCCAUUUGGGACAAUACCCUAGAUAUAAAAGCAGGAAGAUGAGGUUACUGGGACUGUAGUGGAGGUUACUGGGACUGUACUGUUAGUGGAGGUUACUGGGACUGUAGUGGGGGUUACUGGGACUGUAGUGGAGGUUACUGGGACUGUACUGUUAGUGGAGGUUACUGGGACUGUAGUGGAGGUUACUGGGACUGUAGUGGAGGUUACUGGGACUGUAGUGGAGGUUACUGGGACUGUAGUGGAGGUUACUGGGACUGUAGUGGACGUUACUGGGACUGUAGUGGAGGUUACUGGGACUGUAGUGUAGAUUACUGGGACUGUAGUGGAGGUUACUGGGACUGUACUGUUAGUGGAGGUUACUGGGACUGUAGUGGAGGUUACUGGGACUGUACUGCUACUCAACAGAGUUCUAGAGGUUGUGAGUAGGCUUGCUUUCCAUAUACUGCUCAAUAUCCAGAUAAGAGACUAGAUUACAGGC